This 236-nucleotide long non-coding RNA is filed under the name Erythranthe guttata (spotted monkey flower). RNAcentral describes it as "long non-coding RNA (EGUT_LNC003838)". The record is from RNAcentral. Lineage: Eukaryota; Viridiplantae; Streptophyta; Magnoliopsida; Lamiales; Phrymaceae.
GUGGUUAACGUGUUGUCGAUUUUAUUGUAGGAUUUUGAGCCCUUUGAAAAUUUGAGGAGCAUAAAUUCAUUGUCAACGAUUUGUGUGAAGAGUAUUUUGGAGAUUUGGUUAUGGGCUAGGUAUAUGAAGGAGAGAGGGAGAAUCAAGAAUAUUGUAAUUUGAGUGAAGAUUUUUCUCCAUGAUGAAACUAUAGUGCAUGAUUCUUUUAGUAUGCCAAAAAAACCUAGGAAUUGGAU